This 253-nucleotide ribosomal RNA is filed under the name uncultured bacterium. RNAcentral describes it as "partial 16S ribosomal RNA". It matches the Rfam family "Bacterial small subunit ribosomal RNA", at positions 524 to 776 of the family's 1533-position model. The record is from RNAcentral.
UACGUGGGGUGCGAGCGUUGUUCGGAAUUACUGGGCGUAAAGCGCGUGUAGGCGGCCUAUUAUGUCAGGUGUGAAAGCCCUCGGCCUAACCGAGGAAGUGCGCCUGAAACUGGUAGGCUUGAGUACGAGAGAGGAGGACGGAAUUCCCAGUGUAGAGGUGAAAUUCGUAGAUAUUGGGAGGAACACCGGCGGCGAAAGCGGUUCUCUGGAUCGAUACUGACGCUAAGACGCGAAAGCGUGGGGAGCAAACAGG